ACUAGGUUAUAGAACGAAAGCAAUUAGCGAAUAGUUCGUAGCUGUAGUCACCUAAGGUCGUUGAGGGUUUCGAUAGUUUGAGUAGUUAAGUCUACAAGUUCUCUAAAUUAUUCAGGUGUUGCGUUUUUCAAUUUUCCAAUUUCUAAUAAAGCGAAGACAGACACCGAAAGAUAAGGGCUAUUAGCUCAGGUGGUUAGAGCGCACCCCUGAUAAGGGUGAGGUCCCUGGUUCGAGUCCAGGAUGGCCCACUUUCAUACAAAACUGGAUUCAUCCAAAACUGUUUGGGGGUAUAGCUCAGCUGGUAGAGCGCCUGCUUUGCAAGCAGGAUGUCAGCGGUUCGAGUCCGCUUACCUCCACCACGACUGACACCAUCAACUACCAACGAAAUUAACUAAAAGUAAUCAGCAUCUAGGAAUGUAAAGCGUUGAAAGACGAAUGAAACAUCAUAGAGUGCUGGUCUCUUAAGACUAGCGAGAACCUUGACAACUGCAUAGAAGAAAAAGAAAGCAAAGGUAGUUCAAAGUCUGAAUAAGACAUUUGAAAAGAAGAAGCCUAAUGUGCUGAGCGAAUGGUUUGAGGAGAUAGUGAAAGCUAUUGAGCCGAAUGCGUUGUUCGGUUGCAUAAGCAAUCGACCUUCAAAUAUCCAAUGAAG
RNAcentral lists this transfer RNA (652 nucleotides) under [Phormidesmis priestleyi] ANT.LPR2.5. RNAcentral describes it as "partial 16S-23S ribosomal RNA intergenic spacer". The stretch from base 284 to 356 matches the Rfam family "tRNA". The record is from RNAcentral. Lineage: Bacteria; Bacillati; Cyanobacteriota; Cyanophyceae; Leptolyngbyales; Leptolyngbyaceae.